Leptinotarsa decemlineata (Colorado potato beetle) is the source of this 2804-nucleotide long non-coding RNA. The record is from RefSeq and is a predicted model, not a curated record. NCBI's taxonomy places the organism in Eukaryota, Metazoa, Arthropoda, Insecta, Coleoptera, Chrysomelidae.
CAAAAUGUGUGUACCAAAUAUCAGAUCAAUCUGUCAACAAGAAGGGGGUCAAAUUUCAAUAACCGUUUUUUGACGGUUGAUGUGGCAUUUUCGUUUUGUGUUAUCAAGUAAAAAAAACUUCCCUCUUUCAACAUUAAAAUUGAUAGUUGUGAAUCUUCUUGUGAUUGAGUGCAUGUUGUAUGGGGUAUACGGUUUCUCUUAAGGGACUUGAUAUUAUAUUGUUUUAUUAUAGUUGAGGUCGACGGAUCUUGUUUUAUAUAUUUCUACCAUUGGGUAUUCCCAUCACAAAAAUUCUUUGAAUAAGUAUUACAGAAAAUUCUACACCAUUCAAGAAUAAUCUGGAAAGCACUCGAAUGUUCUGGACUGUUUUAUAACUUUCUAGAGGGCAAAAUUUUUAGCCCUUAUAUCUUCAAAAGCACGUCCUUCACGAGAAAAAGAUUUAGGGUAAUUCCGGGGGAGACGGCCGUAGGGAGAGAUGGCUAAUAGAAAAAAGUUCAAGUAAUAAUUAAUAGAUGGCACUAGUCAUCGUUUAGUUUGGUUCGCAACGGCACGGGUAACAACUGUCAGUGUUUUUUCUGUUGAAAAAAUACUGAAACGAUGCCGAACCAAUAUGUACGGAAGGUGGCUGCUGGUCGAGGUGAAUGGAGCGAAGAAGAUUUAAAAAAUGUUAUGGAAGAACUACAAAAUUGAGGGAUGAUGAUUUAUAGGGCCUCUUUCAUCUACAAAAUACCAAAAAAAAACUUUAAAGAAGUGUGAAUGACAGCACUAAAGGACCUAUGGGACCGUCAUUUACCUUCGGUACAGAUAAUGAAGAAAUACUGAGCAAGCAUAUAAAAGACAUGCAGUCAAGAGGCUUUUAUUUGACAAAUGAUUUAAGAAUAAUUGCAUUCAAGUUUGCUGUGCAAUUAGGAAUUGAACAUAGAUUCUGUAAAACAUCUGAAAAGGCGGGCUAUGAUUGGGUGAAAAUGUUUCCGAAAAGAAAUUCCGAUAUUUCUUUGAGGAAAUCAGAAGGGGUGUUAUACGCUAUAAGUCAAGGGAUGAUUAAAUCAGAUGUAAACGCCUAUUUUAAAAUGCUCGAGAAAACUCUCAGUAAUAAUGACCUAAUAAAUAAACCUGGCCAUAUUUACAACAUGGACGAGUCCGGGUUGCAGUGAAAUAAUCGACCAGAUCAUGUUUUGGCUGAAAAAGGUUCGCAGGCUGUAGCCAUGUCAACCUCUACAGAAAAAGGAGAGCCAAUAACGGUUGUUGUAAUGCUGAGGGUAAUUUUAUUCCUCCAGCGUGCAUUAUGAAAGGACAACGAAAGAAAAGAAUUCGAAGAUGAACUGCCUCCAUCAGAUUCGGUAGUUUAUAUGUCACAAAAAUCCGCCUAUAUAACCUCCGAUAUAAUUACGGAAUAGAUGAAAUCGCAUUUCUUGCCUCGAAAACCAGAUGGCAAAGUGCUCCUUUUGCUGGACGGUCAUUCUAUACACUGUAAUUGAGUUGAAAUGCUGGAUUUUGCUAAUGAUAAUGACAUCAUCUUACUCUCAAUGCCGUCACGCACACAUCCCAUUACCUUCAGCCGCUGGGUGUUGCUGUUUUCAAGUCUCUCAAAGCUUACUUUUAUGAAUAUUGCAGGUUAUGGAAGAAACAGCACCUUGGACGUCGUCUUACAAGACAAUUUGGCUUCUUACUAAUUUAAGCCUGGGGAAAAUCAGCGACAAGUGGAAAUGCAAUAUCAGGAUUUAGGACAGCAGGAGUUUUUCCUCUGAAUCCAGCUAUUCCGGAGUACGCCUUUAGUGAGAACAUUGACCAACCCGUUGAAAGAAAUAUCGGACAUGCAGCGCAGGCCCAAUCAAUUUCAGAUCCAGGCCCAAGUACAUCUAUUCAGACGUUGGAUCAACCAACACCAACAUGAUUACUUACCGAAGUGUCUCCACUGCCUGUGAAACUACACGAAGUUCGCAAAUGAGCGAAACAAGUAAGCAUUCUUUUGACAUCUGAAGAGUAUAUUGAAAAACGGAAAAUAAAAGAAAGUGAAAAAGAAUAUAGAGAACAAAAUUUAAAAAAAAACAAAAAUAAUAAAAACAAACACUAAGACUGAUAAACCUGAGGAAAAAAAGGCUAUUAAGAAACGAAAGGUAAUUCGUAGGUUAUCUGAUAGCAGCUGUGAAAAAAUUUCCAUCGUUUUCAAUGAUACCUCUUAAAGUGAAACUGAAGACAGAGAGGAAGAUAACUGCAGAGAUUGUGGUGAUGAUUAUUAUAAUACACUACUGAUAGAAGAUUGGAUACAAAGUAAUAUUUGCAUGUUCUGGGUGCAUGAAAAUUGCACCGAGUUUGAGGACAUGUGUUCAUACUGUGGUAAUAGGAAAAAAAAGGAGCUGAAAGAUCUCAAGGGCAAAGGGAAAGGCCAAAAAAGUAUUGGACAUCUCUCUCCAACUGCUAUGGCUAUCACUUCCGGACAUCCUGGGAGAGAUGGCCAGUCCUAAUUUUUUUUAUAAGUUUAAAAUUACGUUAUUGCAUUUGUAAAAGUGAUUUAUCACGAGCGAGAGUGAAUUUGGAUGAAAUAAAAAAAAAAUCAUUCUUGAAAAAAUGUUAUUGGAAAUAAGUAACAGGUUACUUCACAUUUGAAGGAUUGUUUUUUUUUUUUUUUCGUUGGUAUACCUACUAAAAGCAUCAGCUAGAAAUGCAUAGUGAAAUUUAAACGAAAGCUUGUCUUGAAAUCAUUUUAUUCAGUUUCGAAAUUAAUGUACAUUAUGAUUGAAUUGAGAAUAUAUAUUUAUCGAGGCGGUACUUAUAAAAUAUUGAAAUAAAUAUUUCAUUUUUGA